UGGGGAAUUGUUCACAAUGGGCGCAAGCCUGAUGACGCAACGCCGCGUGGGGGAUGAAGGUCUUCGGAUUGUAAACCCCUGUCGAAUGGGACGAAAGACUCGCGAGUUAAUACUUCACGGGAGUGACGGUACCGUUAAAGGAAGCCACGGCUAACUCUGUGCCAGCAGCCGCGGUAAUACAGAGGUGGCAAGCGUUGUUCGGAAUUACUGGGCGUAAAGGGCGCGUAGGCGGCCUACUAAGUCAGACGUGAAAUCCCCCGGCUUAACCUGGGAACUGCGUCUGAUACUGGAAGGCUUGAGUAUGGGAGAGGGAUGUAGAAUUCCAGGUGUAGCGGUGAAAUGCGUAGAUAUCUGGAGGAAUACCGGUGGCGAAGGCGGCAUCCUGGACCAUUACUGACGCUGAGGCGCGAAAGCUAGGGGAGCAAACGGGAUUAGAUACCCCUGUAGUCCCUGAGCGGGCUGGCAAGGCGCAU
Molecule: ribosomal RNA, 473 nt
Filed under: uncultured bacterium
Lineage: Bacteria
Description: bacterial SSU rRNA
Rfam family: Bacterial small subunit ribosomal RNA
Source: RNAcentral